This 330-nucleotide ribosomal RNA is filed under the name uncultured Actinomycetes bacterium. RNAcentral's name for it is "bacterial SSU rRNA". It matches the Rfam family "Bacterial small subunit ribosomal RNA", at positions 28 to 351 of the family's 1533-position model. The record is from RNAcentral. Lineage: Bacteria; Bacillati; Actinomycetota; Actinomycetes.
GACGAACGCUGGCGGCGCGCUUAACACAUGCAAGUCGAGCGAGAACCAGGGCUUCGGCUCUGGGGACAGCGGCGAACGGGUGAGUAACACGUGGAUAACCUGCCCUCGGCACCGGGAUAGCCCGGGGAAACUCGGAUUAAUACCGGAUAGCCUUUCCGACUUUCGGGUCGGUUCGAAAAGGUAGCUUCGGCCUCUGGCCGAGGAUGGGUCCGCGGCGGAUUAGCUUGUUGGUGGGGUAACGGCCUACCAAGGCUCCGAUCCGUAGCUGGUCUGAGAGGACGAUCAGCCACACUGGGACUGAGACACGGCCCAGACUCCUACGGGUGGCAG